RNAcentral lists this non-coding RNA (21 nucleotides) under Caenorhabditis elegans. The record is from RNAcentral. Lineage: Eukaryota; Metazoa; Nematoda; Chromadorea; Rhabditida; Rhabditidae.
UAAAAGCUUAUUUAUUGACGC